AGAGAGAGAGGGAGAGAGAGAGAAGCCUUGUUUUAAGGCUUCUGGUCUUUGUUGCUGGCGCUUUGAUGGUGUGACUGAUACAUACCUCUCUGUUUUCUUUAAUAAUGGCGCACUGGCCCAUCGUGUGAAAUUACGUGUUUGCCCUCGUUGAGUCUUCCCUGUUUAUUACCCCUCUCAAAUUUCCUUUUCAGGAAAACGUCAAGUUUUCACACACAUCCCCAUUUUGCCUGCGACGUGGCCAAUAGGAAAUCUUCGCACCAUCAAAAAAUCAAAUCCAAUUCUUUUCUUUGCAGGGGUAUUAUUGUAAUUUUACAUUGCAUAUUAUAGGUUUCCAUGUUGUGUUUAUAUUUAUGAAUGAAUUUCAUCAAACGAGCUUCCAUCAUCCAUGUUUUGUUAAUCACGAAAACUCAAAUCUUUAAUUUUGUGGGAAUCGACAAUAGACUUGUGAUUGAUGUUACCUAUUACUCAAAAUUACAUUUAAUCAUAAUGGACGCGUAUUGAAUGUUCCGAUUUAAAUCUAUAUUUGAUUGUGUAAUUAUAUUUUGAUGGUAUCUUGUUAAUAUAGUAGGAAAAAAUACAAAGGCGUAUCCGACGAAAAUGAGGCCUAAUUUUAUAGAAUGAGGCAUAUUAAGCAGAAUUAAUGCAAAUAAAGAAAACAUUGAAACUUUGGAUAUUGCAAAAAAAAAAUUAAAGAUUCUAGAAUGAGGCCUAAUUUUAUAAUUUUUUUUUUUUUGAAGCAAGGCCUAAUUUUAUAAUUUGAAUGGCAAUUAAAACUAAAUAAUAGGUCCGAUCCAAACCCGUAUAUUUUUGCAAAUGAUGCCUAUACAAAAAUCNGGGGAGGGAAGGUUCUUUUCUUUGCUGUGUGAAAAAACUCUGACCGAAGCAAAGGCCGAAUAAGCCCACAUAAUUCGGGAAAAAAAUUAAAAUACAUAGCUGUUUUAGAAAGGCAGUGAAGUUGAUGAUGAAGAUGGGGAUUUUUGGGGGGUUGGGUUGCAGAAGGGCAAUUGUGGCACACACAAUUCUCUCUCUCUCUCUCUCUCUCUCUCUGCUUUAUUUUGGUGCUGUGUGAUGUGGGUUUUUGGUUUAUUGUUGGGAAAACGUUUGAAGUGAAGACAUUUCCUGAUUCUCUCUCUCUCUCUAGAAUUCUGGUUUGCUGUCUCUCCACCUGGUGAAGGUCCGUGAAUGAGACGACGUAGGCACACAAUGUAGAGCUUGACAUAGUGAGAGGAGAGAGAAAGGAAGGGGAAAUAUGAGAGAGAGAGAGAGAGAGAGGGAGAGAGAGAGAAGCCUUGUUUUAAGGCUUCUGGUCUUUGUUGCUGGCGCUUUGAUGGUGUGACUGAUACAUACCUCUCUGUUUUUCUUUAAUAAUGGCGCACUGGCCCCAUCGUGUGAAAUUACGUGUUUGCCCUCGUCGAGUCUUCCCUGUUUAUUACCCCUCUCAAAUUUCCUUUUCAGGAAAACGUCAAGUUUUCACACACAUCCCCAUUUUGCCUGCGACGUGGCCAAUAGGAAAUCUUCACACCAACAAAAACUCCAAAUCCAAUUCUUUUCUUUUCUUUUCUUUUCUAAUCUUUGCA
Molecule: long non-coding RNA, 1577 nt
Filed under: Salvia miltiorrhiza (redroot sage)
Lineage: Eukaryota; Viridiplantae; Streptophyta; Magnoliopsida; Lamiales; Lamiaceae
Description: long non-coding RNA (SMIL_LNC002032)
Source: RNAcentral